Non-coding RNA from Myotis davidii, 74 nucleotides. The record is from Rfam. Lineage: Eukaryota; Metazoa; Chordata; Mammalia; Chiroptera; Vespertilionidae.
GCCAGUAUUGCUAAGUGGUUAGAGCAUUGGUCUGCAUACUGAAGGGUUGUGGGUUCGAUUCCCAGCCAAGGGCA